RNAcentral lists this transfer RNA (72 nucleotides) under Sandaracinaceae bacterium. RNAcentral describes it as "tRNA-Thr". It matches the Rfam family "tRNA". Rfam says of the family: Transfer RNA (tRNA) molecules are approximately 80 nucleotides in length. Their secondary structure includes four short double-helical elements and three loops (D, anti-codon, and T loops). Further hydrogen bonds mediate the characteristic L-shaped molecular structure. tRNAs have two regions of fundamental functional importance: the anti-codon, which is responsible for specific mRNA codon recognition, and the 3' end, to which the tRNAs corresponding amino acid is attached (by aminoacyl-tRNA synthetases). tRNAs cope with the degeneracy of the genetic code in two manners: having more than one tRNA (with a specific anti-codon) for a particular amino acid; and 'wobble' base-pairing, i.e. permitting non-standard base-pairing at the 3rd anti-codon position. The record is from RNAcentral. Lineage: Bacteria; Pseudomonadati; Myxococcota; Polyangiales; Sandaracinaceae.
GUCUCCGAGGCGUACCUGGUGACGCACCCGUUUCGUAAUCGGGGGAAGUCGGUUCGAUUCCGACCGGAGGCU